UNUGGAAUCCCGAAGAGAUUUGGGAGUGCUNGCAAGAGAAGCCNGAACACAGGUGNUGCAUGGCUGUCGUCAGCUCGUGUCGUGAGAUGUUGNGUUAAGUNCCGCAACGAGCGCAACCCUUGUCAUUAGUAGCUACGAAAGGGCACUCUAAUGAGACUGCCGGUGACAAACCGGAGGAAGGUGGGGAUGACGUCAAGUCCUCAUNGCCCUUAUGGGUAGGGCUUCACACGUCAUACAAUGGUCGGGACAGAGGGUCGCCAACCCGCGAGGGGGAGCCAAUCCCAGAAACCCGAUCGUAGUCCGGAUCGCAGUCUGCAACUCGACUGCGUGAAGUCGGAAUCGCUAGUAAUCGCGGAUCAGCAUGUCGCGGUGAAUACGUUNCCGGGUCUUGUACACACCGCCCGUCACAUCCAUGGGAGUGGGUUUUACCAGAAGUAGUUAGCCUAACCGCAAGGGGGGCGAUUNCCACGGUAGGAUUCAUGAACUGGGG
RNAcentral lists this ribosomal RNA (490 nucleotides) under Bordetella bronchiseptica. Its description in RNAcentral is "bacterial SSU rRNA". It matches the Rfam family "Bacterial small subunit ribosomal RNA", at positions 989 to 1480 of the family's 1533-position model. The record is from RNAcentral. Lineage: Bacteria; Pseudomonadati; Pseudomonadota; Betaproteobacteria; Burkholderiales; Alcaligenaceae.